RNAcentral lists this ribosomal RNA (842 nucleotides) under uncultured bacterium. Its description in RNAcentral is "bacterial SSU rRNA". It matches the Rfam family "Bacterial small subunit ribosomal RNA", at positions 34 to 887 of the family's 1533-position model. The record is from RNAcentral.
CGUUGGCGGCGUGGAUUAGGCAUGCAAGUCGAACGGGCCCGCCGCAAGGCGGGUCAGUGGCGCAAGGGUGAGUAAGGCGACGGUAACCAACCCCACGGUUGGGUAUAGCCGCGGGAAACUGCGGGUAAUCCCCAGCGACGUGACGACGCCGGCAUCGGCGUUUCACCAAAGGCUUCGGCCGCCUUGGGACGGGCCGUCGUGGUAUUAGGUAGUUGGCGGGGUUACGGCCCACCAAGCCUGUGAUGCCUACCGGGCGUGCGAGCGUGGCCCGGCACACUGGGACUGAGACACUGCCCAGACUCUUACGGGAGGCUGCAGUCGAGAAUCUUCGGCAAUGGGCGCAAGCCUGACCGAGCGACGCCGCGUGGAGGAUGAAGGCCUUCGGGUUGUAAACUCCUGUCGAGGGGGAGGAAGGGGCAACCUUGACCGAUCCCUGGAGGAAGCACGGGCUAAGUUCGUGCCAGCAGCCGCGGUAAGACGAACCGUGCGAACGUUAUUCGGAAUCACUGGGCUUAAAGCGCGUGUAGGCGGAUGGGAACGUCGGCUUCUGAAAGCCCCCGGCUCAACCGGGGAAGUGGGGCCGAAACGACCCGUCUCGAGGGACGUAGGGGGAUCUGGAACUUCCGGUGGAGCGGUGAAAUGCGUUGAGAUCGGAAGGAACGCCCGUGGCGAAAGCGAGAUCCUGGACGUUUUCUGACGCUGAGACGCGAAAGCUAGGGGAGCAAACGGGAUUAGAUACCCCGGUAGUCCUGGCCGUAAACGAUGAGCACUGGGUAGGGGGCUCGCCGAUGGGCUCUCUGCCGUAGGGAAACCGUGAAGUGCUCCGCCUGGGGAGUAUGGUC